CUAUAUCAAAAGUUUUCAACAUUACAGGUACUACCUGCUGCACAUUCCAACCACAUACUCUUGAAAAAUGCUUCAACAACCAGCUCAUCACAGAUUUUACAAAAGCAUUCUGAGUUAUUUUCAGACUGUUUUUCUUAAGUGCAACUUAAGAAGAGUCACCAAAACACAGCACCUGCUGGGCCAGGCAGUUGUGCACUGUGGACCAACACGUGGAUCCCAGCUGAGAGCUGCAGCGUGGGGUGGGUACGAGCGAGCGAGUCCGAGUCAUUCCUGCACACCCAGAGGUGAGGGGAAAGGUGCAGCAGGGGAGCAGGACAAGGCACAGUGCUGCACAGAUUGCCUCCAUGGGCACAAGGUGCUCAGUAGCACUCCAGAGCAAGCACAGGGCACCUCGGCUGAGGAAGCAUCCCUGGAGGCUGUACCACCCUACAAACACCUGAGUCAUAAUCCCCUGUCCUCCUCCUUCCUCUGGGAGUGGCAGCAAUUUGCUAUCCGUGUUGUUUGGGAUUUGUUUUGCGUGCAGAGGAAGAAUUUGUUAUUGCUCUCCAUCCACGUGUGGGCAUGCUGCCAGACACUGGCUCUCAAAGCAGAUUUUGGCAUCUUCUCCUUAAAGGUAACAUUCCAUCUACAACACUGAACAAUUUCUGGGUCUGUUCACCCAGCCUUUUCUAAAAGAUUUGACAGAAUAACUCUCCACAGGAAGUAAUAUGUGGCUCCCAGUCAUUUCCUCUUCGUAUCUGGGGAUGAGUGAAGCUCCUGGUAAAGGAUUUUUCCCUAAAAAAAGCAGGUCACCCCCUGAACUCAUCUAGUUCAUCGGUUUUAUAGAUAAUAGAGCAGACAAUGAAUGAUCAUUUAUCACCUUGGAAUCUCAAUUCCCUCAAGUAAUGGAGAAGCAUGUGUCUGUCCCAAAUUCUUCAUUUCCCUCCCCUCUGGACUAAUGGAGUAUGUGCAUUAGUUCAUUCAGAGAUGUCUUUCUGGUUUCCCCAUUUAACCUACUUAUCUUAAACUAUCUUAUCCUAUUUGCACCACAAUUUCUAAAAAGAUCCUACCCCAGGACAAGAUCAUUCUUGUGAAAUUUUUGUGUGUAUUGGUUUAGUUUUGGCAAAGUUAGGAGGUAGUUAAAACGAGACUUAUAAUAGAAAGCUAGCUGCUAGCAACUCUCCAUAAUACAUGUCUACCUUGCAGGAGAGUUGUGAGGAUUAAUUAAUUUGUGUUUGUUAAGCACUUUGAGAUCCUAAGAUUAAAGGUUCUAUAGAAAUGCAAAUUGUUAUUAUAACGAUAAAUUCUUUAUAUGAGCUCAUAUGUUUUGCCUUAGAGGCACAGUCUCACCCUGAGUUGCGUAGUUAUACACGUAAAUCUUCAAACAUUAUGAUGAAAAUGUACCUCUGAAAGCCUGAUCCUUCCUACUGCUCUACCACUUCAUGCAUAGAGCUGCCCUUGAUUUCAGGCAGAUCCCAUCCAUGGGACAAUUGUAGGAUUUAAUUUGUUUAGAAGAAAAGACUGUUGUGUGCCUCCAGGCUUCACACUGAAACACAAAACUUUCUGUCUCACUCCAUAAAACCGCUAUUGCUGUCAGUAGUUAUUCCAUUUUAUUAAUGAAAGGACUGAACAGAUUACAAAAUCUGGAUCUGAAUUCU
Long non-coding RNA from Cyanistes caeruleus (blue tit), 1637 nucleotides. The record is from Ensembl. NCBI's taxonomy places the organism in Eukaryota, Metazoa, Chordata, Aves, Passeriformes, Paridae.